UCUUAAAUCAGUUCAUUUAGUUCUCAACAAGCUUCAGGUAAGCAAGAGGAAAAAACCAGAGAAAAGAAAGCAUCGAAAUCGUCUAAACCAAUUCAAAAAUUUCACAAAGGCAAUAAAGUUCAUUUGGAUAUACCAAUCAGGUUAGUCAUUCAUCAAGUAAUCUUAAACAAAAUGUAUUAUUUAAUCACUAUUUACCCUCAGGA
RNAcentral lists this long non-coding RNA (203 nucleotides) under Lupinus angustifolius (narrow-leaved blue lupine). RNAcentral's name for it is "long non-coding RNA (LANG_LNC003478)". Lineage: Eukaryota; Viridiplantae; Streptophyta; Magnoliopsida; Fabales; Fabaceae. The record is from RNAcentral.